Molecule: ribosomal RNA, 351 nt
Filed under: uncultured bacterium
Lineage: Bacteria
Description: bacterial SSU rRNA
Rfam family: Bacterial small subunit ribosomal RNA
Source: RNAcentral
AGAGUUUGAUCCUGGCUCAGGAUGAACGCUAGCUACAGGCUUAACACAUGCAAGUCGAGGGGAAACGACAUCGAAAGCUUGCUUUUGAUGGGCGUCGACCGGCGCACGGGUGAGUAACGCGUAUCCAACCUGCCCACCACUUGGGGAUAACCUUGCGAAAGUAAGGCUAAUACCCAAUGACGUCUCUAGAAGACAUCUGAAGGAGAUUAAAGAUUUAUCGGUGAUGGAUGGGGAUGCGUCUGAUUAGCUUGUUGGCGGGGUAACGGCCACCAAGGCGACGAUCAGUAGGGGUUCUGAGAGGAGGUCCCCCANAUUGGAACUGAGACACGGUCCAAACUGCUACGGGAGGCA